Molecule: ribosomal RNA, 255 nt
Filed under: uncultured bacterium
Lineage: Bacteria
Description: partial small subunit ribosomal RNA
Rfam family: Bacterial small subunit ribosomal RNA
Source: RNAcentral
AGGACGAACGCUGGCGGCGUGCUUAACACAUGCAAGUCGAGCGGAAAGGCCCUUCGGGGUACUCGAGCGGCGAACGGGUGAGUAACACGUGGGCAACCUGCCCCUCGCUCUGGGAUAACUCCGGGAAACCGGGGCUAAUACCGGAUAUGACCCUUUUAGGCAUCUUUGAGGGUGGAAAGUUUUUCGGCGAGGGAUGGGCCCGCGGCCUAUCAGCUUGUUGGUGGGGUGAUGGCCUACCAAGGCAAUGACGGGUAG